AGUCGAGGCAGGAAGUGAGGGGUUGCGUUCCAAAACGGCGGCUCAUUGUUUUCUUGAGAUCUUUGGUGUUACUACUUUUUAUCUUUACCUAGAGGUCAGCCUGUUCUCCCGAUCAGUUGUUAGGGAAAUUGGACACUGAACGAUUUAUAGGGAUGGAAGUAGGGAAACGGUAAAAAUCAUGUAUUCUGCCCUUACAAAGAGGAUGUGAGGACCUUGAGAACACCUUUAAAGGACAUGUUGGUAUAUCCACAGUGGGGAAGGAAUUCAACAGGCAGAGCCGGGACUCAGUGGAUUGGAGGCCAAGUCUUCCUCUCAGACGUCGGGACCAGUUCCCUGAGAGUCUACAGUGCAGGAUCUAAGAGUGACUCAGAGCCGUGCUGCUUUGUUUGUGAACGCUGUUUGGAAAAUUAACGGCGUUCUUUUUAAUGGUGCACUGUUUUACCGGGUCCAUGUUGAUGGACACUUACAGCUGAUCUUUUGUUGCAGUGCGCAUCCUCACGCAUUUUGUCUCUCUGCACCCUUCUUCAGGAGUUUGACCCCGCUCUUCCCUAGGACUAACCUAAUCCCCUAAAAUUCUAUACGAAUGUUGUCUGUAUCUUUUCAAAUUAAU
This is a long non-coding RNA of Phyllostomus hastatus (greater spear-nosed bat), 610 nucleotides long. RefSeq lists it as uncharacterized. Lineage: Eukaryota; Metazoa; Chordata; Mammalia; Chiroptera; Phyllostomidae. The transcript is spliced from 3 exons. The record is from RefSeq and is a predicted model, not a curated record.